CAGCAUCGCGUGAAUAUCAGGGGCAGUGCUUCUGGACUGGCAGACCAGGGUGGUGGUCCCCCUCUUUAAGAAGGGGGACCGGAGGGUGUGCUCCAACUAUAGGGGGAUCACACUCCUUAGCCUCCCUGGUAAAGUCUAUUUGGGGGUUCUGGAGAGGAGGGUCAGUUGGAUUGUCGAAUCUUGGAUUCAGGAAGAGCAGUGUGGUUUUCGCCCUGGCCGUGGAACAGUGGACCAGCUCUAUACUCUCUGCAGGGUUUUGGAGGGUUCAUGGGAGUUUGCCUAAACAGUCUACAUGUGUUUUGUGGACAGAAGGCAUUCGACCGUGUCCCUCGGGGAGUCCUAUGGGGAGUGCUCCGGGAGUAUGGGGUGCUGGGCUACAUUGUAAGGGCUGUUCGGUCCCUGUAUGACUGGUGUCAGAGCUUGGUCCGCAUAGGCGGCAAUAAGUCGGACUUGUUUCCGGUGAGGGUUGGACUCUGUCAGGGCUGCCCUUUGUCACCAAUUUUGUCCAUAGGUUUAUGGACAGAAUUUCUAGGCACAGCCAGGGCAUUGAGGGUGUCCGGUUUGGUGAUCUCAGCAUUAGGUCUCUGCUUUUUGCAGAUGAUGUGGCUCUGUUGGCUUCAUUGGACUGUGACCUUCGGCUCUCACUGGAGCAGUUUGCAGUCAAGUCUGACAUGGCUAGGUUGAGAAUCAACACCUCCAAAUCCGAGACCAUAGUCCUCAGCCAGAAAAGGGUGGAGUGCUCUCACCGGGUCAGGGAGGGGGUCCUUCCCCAAGUGGAGGAGUUUAAGUAUCUCGGGGUCUUGCUCACAAGUGAGGGAAGGAUGGAACAUAAGAUUGACAGGCGGAUCGGUACGGCAUCAGCAGUGAUGCGGGCACUGCAUCGGUCUGUCAUGGUGAAGAAAGAGCUGAGCCAAAAGGCAAAGCUCUCGAUUUACCAGUCGAUCUACGGUCCAACCCUCACCUAUGGUCACGAGCUAUAGGUAGUGACCAAAAGAACGAGAUCACUAGUAUAAGCGGCCAGAAUGAGUUUCCUGCACAGGAUGGCUAGGUUUUCCCUUAAAGAUAGGGUGAGGAGCUCGGUCAUUCGGGAGAGUAGAGCCGCUGCUCCUCCGCAUUGAGAGGAGCCAAAUUAGGUGGCUCAGGCAUUUGCUUAGGAUGCCUCCUGAAUGCCUCCCUGGUGAGGUGUUCCGGGCAUGUCCCACUGGGAGGAAGCCCUGGGGAAGACCCAGGACACACUGGAGGAACUAUGUUUCUCGGCCUGCCUGGGAACACCUCCGGAUUCCCCAGAGGAGCUGGAUGAAGUGGCCAGGGAGAGGGAAGUCUGGGUUUCCCUGCUGAGACUGCUGCCCCGACCUUGGAUAAGCACCUCAGAGGGUUAAGACCAGACAGGGAUGCGCCGUUCCUUCCAACCAAUGGGCUAACAUGUAAGCCUGUGGCGAGCAUCCGGAAUUUGAGUGUGAGGAAGAAGCUGGAGGAAACAUGAGGAGAACACUCCAAAACGCACAAACACACACAUACACACACAGACACAUACAGGUGGGACUCAAAACCCCAUCCCUGGAGGUGUGAGCCAACACUGCUGCCCCUAUUAUGCAAAAAUAUGAAUACAUAACUCCUACUUUAGACAUUUUAUAGACUUCUAUUUCAGUACACGGUAGACAGGUUAAAAUGAAGAUGAUGCAUACUGUGAUUCUACUGGUCUCAGGCCUCAGUUAAAUGUGUGCUGUGUUACCACAAUGGGAGUAAGGACUGAACUGGGAGCGACAUUAUUUUUAUAAACAGAGUGCGCUGGGGGAAAGCUCUUUAAAGGCUUUUGAAAAAUCAUUCACAAAAACUGA
Molecule: long non-coding RNA, 1838 nt
Organism: Brienomyrus brachyistius
Lineage: Eukaryota; Metazoa; Chordata; Actinopteri; Osteoglossiformes; Mormyridae
Exons: 3
Source: RefSeq, a predicted model, not a curated record